Molecule: ribosomal RNA, 253 nt
Filed under: uncultured bacterium
Lineage: Bacteria
Description: partial 16S ribosomal RNA
Rfam family: Bacterial small subunit ribosomal RNA
Source: RNAcentral
GACAGAGGGUGCAAACGUUGUUCGGAAUUACUGGGCGUAAAGCGAGUGUAGGCGGUCUGAAAAGUCAGGUGUGAAAGCCCUGGGCUCAACCCAGGAAGUGCACUUGAAACUGUCAGGCUAGAGUAUCGGAGAGGUUGGUGGAAUUCUCGGUGUAGAGGUGAAAUUCGUAGAUAUCGAGAGGAACACCGGUGGCGAAGGCGGCCAACUGGACGAAUACUGACGCUGAGACUCGAAAGCGUGGGGAGCAAACAGG